This 73-nucleotide transfer RNA is filed under the name Rhipicephalus sanguineus (brown dog tick). Its description in RNAcentral is "transfer RNA threonine (anticodon GGU)". It matches the Rfam family "tRNA". From Rfam's summary of the family: Transfer RNA (tRNA) molecules are approximately 80 nucleotides in length. Their secondary structure includes four short double-helical elements and three loops (D, anti-codon, and T loops). Further hydrogen bonds mediate the characteristic L-shaped molecular structure. tRNAs have two regions of fundamental functional importance: the anti-codon, which is responsible for specific mRNA codon recognition, and the 3' end, to which the tRNAs corresponding amino acid is attached (by aminoacyl-tRNA synthetases). tRNAs cope with the degeneracy of the genetic code in two manners: having more than one tRNA (with a specific anti-codon) for a particular amino acid; and 'wobble' base-pairing, i.e. permitting non-standard base-pairing at the 3rd anti-codon position. The record is from Rfam by way of RNAcentral. Lineage: Eukaryota; Metazoa; Arthropoda; Arachnida; Ixodida; Ixodidae.
GCCGCGGUAGCUCAGUUGGUAGAGCAUCGGGCGGGUUAUUCGAAGCUCGCAGGUUCGUUCCCUGCCCGCGGCA